CAUGCAAGUUGAGCGAUGAAGAUUGGUGCUUGCACCAAUUUGAAGAGCAGCGAACGGGUGAGUAACGCGUGGGGAAUCUGCCUUUGAGCGGGGGACAACAUUUGGAAACGAAUGCUAAUACCGCAUAAUAACUUUAAACAUAAGUUUUAAGUUUGAAAGAUGCAAUUGCAUCACUCAAAGAUGAUCCCGCGUUGUAUUAGCUAGUUGGUGAGGUAAAGGCUCACCAAGGCGAUGAUACAUAGCCGACCUGAGAGGGUGAUCGGCCACAUUGGGACUGAGACACGGCCCAAACUCCUACGGGAGGCAGCAGUAGGGAAUCUUCGGCAAUGGACGAAAGUCUGACCGAGCAACGCCGCGUGAGUGAAGAAGGUUUUCGGAUCGUAAAACUCUGUUGGUAGAGAAGAACGUUGGUGAGAGUGGAAAGCUCAUCAAGUGACGGUAACUACCCAGAAAGGGACGGCUAACUACGUGCCAGCAGCCGCGGUAAUACGUAGGUCCCGAGCGUUGUCCGGAUUUAUUGGGCGUAAAGCGAGCGCAGGUGGUUUAUUAAGUCUGGUGUAAAAGGCAGUGGCUCAACCAUUGUAUGCAUUGGAAACUGGUAGACUUGAGUGCAGGAGAGGAGAGUGGAAUUCCAUGUGUAGCGGUGAAAUGCGUAGAUAUAUGGAGGAACACCGGUGGCGAAAGCGGCUCUCUGGCCUGUAACUGACACUGAGGCUCGAAAGCGUGGGGAGCAAACAGGAUUA
Molecule: ribosomal RNA, 743 nt
Filed under: Lactococcus lactis
Lineage: Bacteria; Bacillati; Bacillota; Bacilli; Lactobacillales; Streptococcaceae
Description: bacterial SSU rRNA
Rfam family: Bacterial small subunit ribosomal RNA
Source: RNAcentral